This 253-nucleotide ribosomal RNA is filed under the name uncultured Conexibacter sp. Its description in RNAcentral is "partial 16S ribosomal RNA". It matches the Rfam family "Bacterial small subunit ribosomal RNA", at positions 524 to 776 of the family's 1533-position model. Lineage: Bacteria; Bacillati; Actinomycetota; Thermoleophilia; Solirubrobacterales; Conexibacteraceae. The record is from RNAcentral.
UACGUAGGGAGCAAGCGUUGUCCGGAAUCAUUGGGCGUAAAGCGCGCGUAGGCGACCCCGUAAGUCUGCUGUAAAAGUCAAAGGCUCAACCUUUGAAAGCCGGUGGAUACUGCGGGGCUGGAGUCCGGAAGAGGCGAGUGGAAUUCCUGGUGUAGCGGUGGAAUGCGCAGAUAUCAGGAGGAACACCAAUAGCGAAGGCAGCUCGCUGGGACGGUACUGACGCUAAGGCGCGAAAGCGUGGGGAGCGAACAGG